UUGCCUACGGGACGCAGCAGUGGGGGAUAUUGCACAAUGGGGGAAACCCUGAUGCAGCGACGCCGCGUGGGCGAAGAAGUAUUUCGGUAUGUAAAGCCCUAUCAGCAGGGAAGAAGAAAUGACGGUACCUGAGUAAGAAGCACCGGCUAACUACGUGCCAGCAGCCGCGGUAAUACGUAGGGGGCAAGCGUUAUCCGGAUUUACUGGGUGUAAAGGGAGCGCAGGUGGCAAGGCAAGCCAGAAGUGAAAACCCGGGGCUUAACCCCGCGGAUUGCUUUUGGAACUGUCUGGCUGGAGUGCAGGAG
RNAcentral lists this ribosomal RNA (305 nucleotides) under uncultured bacterium. RNAcentral's name for it is "bacterial SSU rRNA". It matches the Rfam family "Bacterial small subunit ribosomal RNA", at positions 335 to 654 of the family's 1533-position model. The record is from RNAcentral.